UAAUUCGAUGCAACGCGAAGAACCUUACCUACCCUUGACAUCUAAAGAAUCCCGAUGAGAGUUGGGAGUGCCGAAAGGAGCUUUAAGACAGGUGCUGCAUGGCUGUCGUCAGCUCGUGUUGUGAGAUGUUGGGUUAAGUCCCGUAACGAGCGCAACCCUUGCCCUUAGUUGCCAGCGAGUAAAGUCGGGGACUCUAAGGGGACCGCCGGUGAUGAACCGGAGGAAGGCGGGGACGACGUCAAGUCAUCAUGGCCUUUAUGGGUAGGGCUACACACGUGCUACAAUGGGGCGUACAGAGGGUCGCCAACCCGCGAGGGGGAGCCAAUCUCUUAAAGCGUCUCGUAGUCCGGAUUGGAGUCUGCAACUCGACCCCAUGAAGUCGGAAUCGCUAGUAAUCGCGAAUCAGCAGUGUCGCGGUGAAUACGUUCCCGGGCCAUUGUACACACCGCC
This 450-nucleotide ribosomal RNA is filed under the name uncultured Gammaproteobacteria bacterium. Its description in RNAcentral is "bacterial SSU rRNA". It matches the Rfam family "Bacterial small subunit ribosomal RNA", at positions 947 to 1394 of the family's 1533-position model. Lineage: Bacteria; Pseudomonadati; Pseudomonadota; Gammaproteobacteria. The record is from RNAcentral.